GGUUAAGCGACUAAGCGUACACGGUGGAUGCCCUGGCAGUCAGAGGCGAUGAAGGACGUGCUAAUCUGCGAAAAGCGUCGGUAAGGUGAUAUGAACCGUUAUAACCGGCGAUGUCCGAAUGGGGAAACCCAGUGCAAUUCGUUGCACUAUCGUUAACUGAAUACAUAGGUUAACGAGGCGAACCGGGGGAACUGAAACAUCUAAGUACCCCGAGGAAAAGAAAUCAACCGAGAUUCCCCCAGUAGCGGCGAGCGAACGGGGAGCAGCCCAGAGUCUGAAUCAGCUUGUGUGUUAGUGGAACGGUCUGGAAAGUCCGACGGUACAGGGUGAUAGUCCCGUACACCAAAAUGCACAGGUUGUGAACUCGAAGAGUAGGGCGGGACACGUGGUAUCCUGUCUGAAUAUGGGGGGACCAUCCUCCAAGGCUAAAUACUCCUGACUGACCGAUAGUGAACCAGUACCGUGAGGGAAAGGCGAAAAGAACCCCGGCGAGGGGAGUGAAAAAGAACCUGAAACCGUGUACGUACAAGCAGUGGGAGCACCUUCGGGUGUGACUGCGUACCUUUUGUAUAAUGGGUCAGCGACUUAUAUUCUGUAGCAAGGUUAACCGUAUAGGGGAGCCGCAGGGAAACCGAGUCUUAACUGGGCGUUAAGUUGCAGGGUAUAGACCCGAAACCCGGUGAUCUAGCCAUGGGCAGGUUGAAGGUUGGGUAACACUAACUGGAGGACCGAACCGACUAAUGUUGAAAAAUUAGCGGAUGACUUGUGGCUGGGGGUGAAAGGCCAAUCAAACCGGGAGAUAGCUGGUUCUCCCCGAAAGCUAUUUAGGUAGCGCCUCGUGAACUCAUCUUCGGGGGUAGAGCACUGUUUCGGCUAGGGGGUCAUCCCGACUUACCAACCCGAUGCAAACUACGAAUACCGAAGAAUGUUAUCACGGGAGACACACGGCGGGUGCUAACGUCCGUCGUGAAGAGGGAAACAACCCAGACCGCCAGCUAAGGUCCCAAAGUCAUGGUUAAGUGGGAAACGAUGUGGGAAGGCACAGACAGCCAGGAUGUUGGCUUAGAAGCAGCCAUCAUUUAAAGAAAGCGUAAUAGCUCACUGGUCGAGUCGGCCUGCGCGGAAGAUGUAACGGGGCUAAACCAUGCACCGAAGCUGCGGCAGCGACACUAUGUGUUGUUGGGUAGGGGAGCGUUCUGUAAGCCUGCGAAGGUGUGCUGUGAGGCAUGCUGGAGGUAUCAGAAGUGCGAAUGCUGACAUAAGUAACGAUAAAGCGGGUGAAAAGCCCGCUCGCCGGAAGACCAAGGGUUCCUGUCCAACGUUAAUCGGGGCAGGGUGAGUCGACCCCUAAGGCGAGGCCGAAAGGCGUAGUCGAUGGGAAACAGGUUAAUAUUCCUGUACUUGGUGUUACUGCGAAGGGGGACGGAGAAGGCUAUGUUAGCCGGGCGACGGUUGUCCCGGUUUAAGCAUGUAGGCUGGUUAUCCAGGCAAAUCCGGAUAAUCAAGGCUGAGGUGUGAUGACGAGGCACUACGGUGCUGAAGUAACAAAUGCCCUGCUUCCAGGAAAAGCCUCUAAGCAUCAGGUAACAUUAAAUCGUACCCCAAACCGACACAGGUGGUCAGGUAGAGAAUACCAAGGCGCUUGAGAGAACUCGGGUGAAGGAACUAGGCAAAAUGGUGCCGUAACUUCGGGAGAAGGCACGCUGGUGUGUAGGUGAAGUCCCUGCGGAUGGAGCUGAGACCAGUCGAAGAUACCAGCUGGCUGCAACUGUUUAUUAAAAACACAGCACUGUGCAAACACGAAAGUGGACGUAUACGGUGUGACGCCUGCCCGGUGCCGGAAGGUUAAUUGAUGGGGUUAUCCGUAAGGAGAAGCUCUUGAUCGAAGCCCCGGUAAACGGCGGCCGUAACUAUAACGGUCCUAAGGUAGCGAAAUUCCUUGUCGGGUAAGUUCCGACCUGCACGAAUGGCGUAAUGAUGGCCAGGCUGUCUCCACCCGAGACUCAGUGAAAUUGAACUCGCUGUGAAGAUGCAGUGUACCCGCGGCAAGACGGAAAGACCCCGUGAACCUUUACUAUAGCUUGACACUGAACAUUGAGCCUUGAUGUGUAGGAUAGGUGGGAGGCUUUGAAGCGUGGACGCCAGUCUGCGUGGAGCCAACCUUGAAAUACCACCCUUUAAUGUUUGAUGUUCUAACGUUGGCCCCUUACCGGGGUUGCGGACAGUGUCUGGUGGGUAGUUUGACUGGGGCGGUCUCCUCCCAAAGCGUAACGGAGGAGCACGAAGGUUAGCUAAUCCUGGUCGGACAUCAGGAGGUUAGUGCAAUGGCAUAAGCUAGCUUGACUGCGAGCGUGACGGCGCGAGCAGGUGCGAAAGCAGGUCAUAGUGAUCCGGUGGUUCUGAAUGGAAGGGCCAUCGCUCAACGGAUAAAAGGUACUCCGGGGAUAACAGGCUGAUACCGCCCAAGAGUUCAUAUCGACGGCGGUGUUUGGCACCUCGAUGUCGGCUCAUCACAUCCUGGGGCUGAAGUAGGUCCCAAGGGUAUGGCUGUUCGCCAUUUAAAGUGGUACGCGAGCUGGGUUUAGAACGUCGUGAGACAGUUCGGUCCCUAUCUGCCGUGGGCGCUGGAGAAUUGAGGGGGCUGCUCCUAGUACGAGAGGACCGGAGUGGACGCAUCACUGGUGUUCGGGUUGUCAUGCCAAUGGCACUGCCCGGUAGCUAAAUGCGGAAGAGAUAAGUGCUGAAAGCAUCUAAGCACGAAACUUGCCCCGAGAUGAGUUCUCCCUGAGACUUUAAGUCUCCUGAAGGAACGUUAAAGACGAUGACGUUGAUAGGCCGGGUGUGUAAGCGCAGCGAUGCGUUGAGCUAACCGGUACUAAUGAACCGUGAGGCUUAACCUU
Molecule: ribosomal RNA, 2900 nt
Filed under: Klebsiella pneumoniae
Lineage: Bacteria; Pseudomonadati; Pseudomonadota; Gammaproteobacteria; Enterobacterales; Enterobacteriaceae
Description: 23S ribosomal RNA
Rfam family: Bacterial large subunit ribosomal RNA
Source: RNAcentral